GUAAGGAAAUUCCCUCCCUCCCUCUCUCUGCAACCUCAUUCAUUAAUCAUUGCCUCAACACAAAGCCACCACCUACUCACGCAUCCAUCAAACCUAUAUAUACAUAUUGAAUCAUACCCUUCUUACUGAUUUAUCAUUUUCGGAGAAAAUGGAUUUUGAACUGAGAAGGGCGAGAGAGAAGCUGGAGAAAGAGCAAAAGGAGAGGAAAGAGAAAGCCAGAUUGAAGCUGGAAAGAGAGAGAAAAGCUAAAGCAGAGGCAAAGAAGCAAAGAGAGGCCAUUGAAGCCGCGCAAAGAUCUCGAAGGCUUGAUGCUCUUCAAGCCCAGCUCAAGGCUGAUGAGCGAAUGCAAGAAAAUUUACUUGCUGGGAGAGGAAUAAUGUUUUCUCGAAUACUGCAAGCUAUAUCCUUUCAUGGUAGUGGAGACAAGAUUAAAUUACCUCCUUCCUGUUUCGCAGAAUUGUCUGAUCAAGGUGCUUUUGACAAAGGACCAAUAUAUUUCCAAUUAUCAGUGAUUCAUCAAGAUGGUCCAUCUGAGACAAAGACUACUGACCCAAAGCAGCAGACAACCCACUCAGGUGUUCUUGAGUUCACUGCAGAGGAAAGUUAUGUUGAGCUUCCUCCUCAUAUAUGGAAUAACCUGUUUCCUGUAGGAGCACCAAAUGCUCCUCUAGUUGAGCUUCAUUAUGUCUGGCUACCUAAAGGAACUUAUGCAAAGCUUCAACCUGAAGUUGUUGGCUUUUCUGACAUCCCCAAUCACAAGGCUGUCCUUGAAACAACCCUUCGGCAGCAUGCCACUCUUUCUCAAGGUGAUGUGAUCACUGUCAACCAUGGGAUACUAGCAUACAAGUUACGGGUUCUAGAGUUGAAACCUUCCUCUAGUGUCUCUGUCCUGGAAACAGAUAUUGAGGUUGAUGUAGUUGGUCCAGAUUCAGUUUCAGAGAGCACAAAUCAACAUGUCCUGAAGCCACUUAAUUUUGGAAUGUCAGAGGCUGUAAUGGUUGAAGAAGGGAACUAUGAUUAUUAUAAAUUUUCUAUUGAUGAUGAUACUUGGGAAAAAAUUGCUUCUGGGGAUGUCAGAGUUGAAGUAAAGAUAGAUGCUGAAACUAGUGGUGGUGAUACCGAUCUUUACAUGUCCAAGCAUCCUCUUAUAUUUCCAACUCGGCAUCAACAUGAAUGGUCUUCUCAUGAUGUGGGGUCAAAAGUUUUGAUCCUUAGCUCCAAGGAUAAGAACUUUGGUGUGGGUGCUUACAGCAUUGGUAUAUAUGGUUUCAAGGGAACGACAAAGUGUAAGGUAUUGGUUAGCGUUGAAAAUAAUAUUAGUCUUAAGAUGGGUCAACAAGCUGGAUCUUCAUCAUCUGUGGAGAUUGAUACUGUAGAGUGUAGGAAUUGUAAGCAUUUUAUACCCUCCAGGAGUAUAGCACUGCAUGAGGCAUAUUGUAUUAGACAUAAUAUUGUUUGUCAGCAUGCUGGUUGUGGAAUUGUUCUGAGGAUUGAGGAGGCCCAAAACCAUGUGCAUUGUGAGAAUUGUGGCCAAGCUUCUCAAAGGGGAGAAAUGGAAAAGCAUAUGAAAGUUUUCCAUGAACCACUUCAGUGUCCCUGUGGAGUAGCCCUUGAGAAGGAAUUGAUGGUAAGCAAAUGGAACCUUUAUUCUUAUUCUGCCUCUUUAAAAUUUAGAAUUUCUUUUAUUUCAGUAAUAUUAACUCCUCACCGUGCAUCAUACCAUCUAAUGUCUAGUAGUGCUUGUGGUGGGCUGCCCAAUUGAUUGAUCAAUGCAAGAGUCACAUGGAUCUAACGUGAUGUUGCACUUCAAUCAUUGAGGCAGUAAGCCCAGUUGGUUGCCAAAGAUAAGACCAUUGAUCAGUUGUUUUGAUGAUUUGUGGUGUUCACUAUGGAUGAUGAUGAGGUAGAAAUUCUAGAAAUAAUUCUAGGUAUGAAAUGUGGAGGUGAUAUCUAAACCAUUUGAAGUUGCAGAUGAUGACGACUUAUUUGGGGUUAACCCUUUGCCCCCUGGAGUGAGGGUUUAAAAUGGCAUCUUAAUUCUUAAGAAGUCUGCUAAAAAUUUUCCCAAAAAUCAUUGAAAAAGAAACAUAGCUAGCUUACGUCACUAGCAUUUUAAUUUUUUAGGGAACAACGUUUUACGUAUUUAUUUACUUGUCUGUGGCAGGUACAACACCAAGCUUCAGCUUGUCCCCUACGCCUUAUAACAUGCCGAUUUUGCGGCGAUAUGGUUCAAGCUGGGAGUUCAGCUAUGGAUGUGAGGGACCGAUUAAGAGGCUUAUCUGAGCAUGAGAGUGUUUGUGGGUCUAGAACAGCCCCAUGCGACUCUUGCGGACGAUCCGUCAUGUUGAAGGAGAUGGACAUCCACCAAAUUGCUGUUCAUCAAAAAAGUUAAUUACAAGAACCAAACUUAAAUUAUCAGACAAGAACCAAGCUUAAAGGGCUGGCCAUGUGAUCAUGUGCUGGGGAAGCAUGAUUUAGCAAAUCCAUUUUUUAUCCGAUUGAACCCUGGUUGCUUUAUAGCAGUUAUGGUUAAUCAUGUGUUUGAAAAUCGACUCCUGUGCAUAAGAAAAGUGAUAAACCAAAGAAAAGUAUUGCUGUAUCAUGUGAUUGUUUAAUUUAAUGUAAGCAAUGUAUGUUGCUUUACAUCUCUGCAUGGUGAAUAUGUUUUAUUAUUCUUAAAUUUGUAAUUUUUUUUUUAAUAAAGAAGAUUGAUGGCCAAAUGAUCAGAUGCUUCAUCUGGAUGAAUAGAUUCCUUGGUCAUU
This 2762-nucleotide unclassified non-coding RNA is filed under the name Hevea brasiliensis (rubber tree). Lineage: Eukaryota; Viridiplantae; Streptophyta; Magnoliopsida; Malpighiales; Euphorbiaceae. The record is from RNAcentral.